This 4290-nucleotide ribosomal RNA is filed under the name Triticum aestivum (bread wheat). Its description in RNAcentral is "partial small subunit ribosomal RNA". Lineage: Eukaryota; Viridiplantae; Streptophyta; Magnoliopsida; Poales; Poaceae. The record is from RNAcentral.
AUGAAGCGCUCCAGGGAGGACGCGCUCGCCGCCGCCGGGUCGCAGCCCAGCAAGCGCAUCACCACCAGCAGCGCCGCCGUCGCUCGAUCCGAUCCGUCGCCGCCGCAGCCCAUGCCUCCGGCGGGGUCGGGGUCGGCCCUGGUGCCGGCGCCGCCGCCCCAGGCCGUGGCCGCCCUGCCGACGCAGCCCUCCGGCGGGUCUGGGGCCGCCACUGCUGCCGCGGCCGCCGCCGCAGGCCAGAAGCUGACGACCAACGACGCCCUCGUCUACCUCAAGGCCGUCAAGGACAAGUUCCAGGACAACCGCGCCAAGUACGAGGAGUUCCUCGAGGUCAUGCGCGACUUCAAGAGCGAGAGGAUCGACACCAACGGGGUGAUUAUCCGCGUGAAGACCCUCUUCAACGGGUACCCCGAGCUGAUCCUGGGAUUCAACACCUUCUUGCCCAAGGGCUUUGCAAUCAGGCUGCAGCAGGAUGAGAAGAAGCCUGUGGAUUUCGCGGAGGCUAUCAACUUCGUGAACAAGAUUAAGAGUCGGUUCCAGCGCGACGAGCAUGUCUACAAGUCGUUCCUGGACAUCCUCAACAUGUACCGCAAGGAUAACAAGUCCAUCCAAGAUGUUUACCAUGAGGUUGCUGUGCUGUUCAGCGACCACAAAGACUUGCUCGAAGAAUUCCAGCACUUCUUGCCUGAUACCUCGGUGUCUCCGCAAGCAGGGGCCGCUCCAAGAGGCGGCUUAGUUAAGCGGGAAGCUCUAAUGCCCCCUGCUAGUAGGGGUCACAUUGAAAAGCCUAGGGCUUUUCCGUCUCAUACCGACCGUGACGCCAGUGUCGAUCGUCCUGACGUGGACCAUGAUCGCCAAAGACAACGGGAGAAGAACAAGGAACGCAAGGCAGAAAGAGAUAGAAGAGAUUAUGAUAGAGAUGAGAAGGAUGUUGAACAAGACAGCAAAGAGGUGGAUGUUGGCCAGCGUAAGCGCAAACCUUUUCCAAGCGCAAACCUUGCAGGUGCUGAGGCACACCAAGGAGGCCACCCUGAGAUUCAUGGAAUUAAUAGUGCCUCUGCCUCAUCGUAUGAUAACAAGGACGCGUUAAAGAGUGGAUACACACAGGAGUUCCAUUUCUGCGAAAAAGUCAAGGAGAAGCUGGAAUAUGAUGCUUACCAGGAGUUCUUGAAAUGCCUUCACAUCUACAGCCAGGAAAUUAUUACGAGAAGUGAACUGAAGAACUUGGUGAGCGAUAUACUACAACACUACCCAGAUCUUAUGGAUGGAUUUAAUGAAUUCUUGGAACAUUGUGAAAAUAUAGAUGGAUUUCUGGCUGGAGUCUUCAGUAAAAAGCAACCUGGAAGGCUAAUUAAAACAGAGGAUAAAGAAAGGGAUAAGGAGCAUGAGAGGGAGGAUAGGAACAGAGACCGGGACAAGGAAAGAGAAAAGGAACGGGAAAGGCUGCAUCCAAAGGAAGGUCCUAGCCAGAAACCCUCGAUUGUCAAAGAGAAGUAUCUAUGCAAACCAAUAUCAGAGCUUGAUCUCUCAAAUUGUCAGCGAUGCACUCCAAGUUACCGGCUUCUACCUAAAAAUUACCCAAUGCCUCCGGCAGGCAACAAGACUGAUCUUGGUGCCACGGUUCUUAAUGAUCACUGGGUGUCAGUGACAUCAGGGAGUGAAGACUAUUCGUUUAAGCACAUGCGCAAGAAUCAGUAUGAAGAAAGUUUAUUUAGAUGCGAAGAUGACAGGUUCGAGUUGGAUAUGCUGUUGGAGUCAGUUAAUGCAGCAACUAAGCGCGUCGAGGAGUUGAUAGAAAAAAUGCAAGAUAACUCAGUAAAACCAGAAAGCCCAAUACGCAUCGAUGAGCACUUAACUCCUUUGAAUCUAAGGUGCAUUGAACGGUUAUAUGGUGACCAUGGUCUGGAUGUGAUGGACGUUCUUCGAAGAAAUGCUAGUGUUGCGCUGCCAGUUAUCUUAUCUAGGCUAAAACAAAAGCAGGAGGAAUGGUCAAGGUGUCGAUCAGAUUUCAACAAGGUUUGGGCUGACAUUUAUGCCAAAAAUUACCACAAGUCACUUGAUCAUCGCAGUUUCUAUUUCAAGCAGCAAGACUCGAAGAAUCUCAGCACAAAAUCUCUAUUGACCGAGAUUAAAGAAAUUAAUGAGAAGAAAAGAAAGGAAGACGAUGUCCUCAUUGCUAUUGCUGCUGGAAAUAGGCGGCCUAUAGUUCCCAACAUGUCAUUUGAGUAUGUAGAUGCAAAUAUCCACGACGAUCUUUAUAAGAUCGUGAAGUACUCGUGUGGAGAAGUCUGUGGCUCGGACCAACUGGACAAAGUGAUGAGGAUUUGGACAACUUUUCUGGAGCCUAUUUUGGGCAUUCCGUCUCGAUCCCACGGCGCCGUGGAUGCAGAUCUAACUAAACCCAAGAAUGGCAUCACAAAAUCUGGUAUUGCAAAUGUGGGGGAAAGCAAUGCUUCUCCUGAUGGAGUUGCUGCCCAGCAAGGCCAUGGUGAUGAAAGCAUGCAACAGGAGCAAGCACCAUCAGCUGUGGCUAGAUUGUCUAGGUUAGCGAAAGGAGUUGCAGCAGACUCCCAAAAUGGUUCCCAUGAUGCAGAUCGAACUGCUCGUAGAGAUGAGGAAGCAUCAAAUGCUGCACUAAAUGAAGUAUCUGCAGUAAGCACCCAGAACAUGCCUACCGAGAGAUCAGCAGGACAACAUAGCCAUAUGAAGGGAAACUCUGAAACCACGCCAGGAGUGAAUGCAUCUAAAAGUUCACAUGCUGGAGUUAGUAUGGCUGCCGGUGCCAGGGCUGGCCAUGAAGUAUUACCAUCUACUGAGGGUGGAGAGACUGGCAAGUCAGGAUCAUCUUUAAAUGGUGGGGCUACCAGCGAGGGUAACAAAGGGCGCCUAUUUAAUGAAGCUGCUGCGUCCCACAAUACAUCGAAAGUUGAACGAGAAGAAGGUGAAUUAUCGCCUAAUGGAGAUUUUGAAGAGGACAAUUUUGUGCCUUUCGAAGAUGGCGCAUCUAAAACAAAGGAAGGUUCUACAAGCAGAACAUUCAAGGUUAGACCUGGUCAAGUGGAGCCUCAUGCUGAGGCAGCCGGCGAGAACGAUGCUGAUGAUGAGGAAAGCACUCAAAGGUCUACCGAGGACAGUGAGAAUGCUUCUGAGGCCGGUGAAGAUGCAUCAGGAAGUGAAUCUGGUGAUGGCGAGCACGGUUCUCCCGAAGAUCACGAUGAGGAAGAAGAUAUGGAUCAUGAUCAGGAUCCGAAGGCAGAAAGUGAGGGUGAGGCAGAGGGGACAACUGAGACCCACGACGUUGAAGGAGGAAUGUCAUUACUCGGAAUAUCAUUGCCUUCAUCCGAACGCUUUCUGUACUCGGCUAAACCACUGGCCAAGCAUGUUCCCACAUCUUUACAUGGUCGGGAAGAUAGAUCGUCACAUGUAUUUUAUGGGAAUGAUUCAUUUUACAUCUUGUUCAGGCUGCACCAGAUGCUGUACGAACGACUGCUUUCAGCAAAGACAAACUCUUCGAGUGCUGAAAAGAAAUGGAGAACCUCCAAGGAUACAAACCCCCCUGACCUAUAUGCAAGGUUCAUAAAGGCACUCUACAACUUGCUUGAUGGCACUUCUGAUAAUACCAAAUUUGAGGAUGACUGCCGUGCUAUUAUUGGGACCCAGUCAUACGUUCUCUUUACUUUGGAUAAACUGAUAUACAAAGUUGUGAAGCAGCUUCAAGCUAUAGCGACAGAUGAAAUGGACAGCAAGCUUCUCCAGCUUUAUAUGUAUGAGAAGUCAAGAUCCCCUGGGAGGUUCUUUGAUCUGGUCUAUCAUGAAAACGCCCGUGUCCUGCUCCAUGAUGAGAGCAUGUAUCGAUUCGAAUGUUGCUCAAGUCCAAUGAGGGUGUCUAUUCAGCUGAUGGAAUAUGGUCAUGAGAAGCCUGAGGUGACUGCGGUAUCCAUUGAGCCAAAUUUUGCCUCUUAUCUUUUCAGCGAGUAUCUGUCAAAUUCGUCAGGCACGAUGCUGCCUGAAGGUGUCUUCCUUGGAAGGAACAAGCGGAAACAUUCAAAUGACGGCGAGCCUUCAGAUUCGUUGAAGGCCAUGGAUGGUAUCAAAGUUGCUAAUGGUCUUGAAUGCAAGAUAUCCUGCAAGACCUCUAAGGUCUCCUAUGUCCUUGACACCGAAGAUUUCUUGUUUCGGUUGAGAAAGAGGAGGCUUUCACCCGGUGGAAAUGUGGCCGACAAGUCGCCGACCUCCAAAAAAUAUGAUGCAAAAGUGCAGCGCUUUCAUUUAUUUCUAUCCAAGCCUUAA